GGAUCAUUAUUGAAUAAAUAUGAGUUGGGUUGUUGCUGGCUCUUAGGAGUAUGUGCACACCGACUUCAUUUUUAACCCUCCCCUGUGCACUCUUGCAUAGAUCUGAAUGUCUUGAGGUAAACUCAGUUUGGGAAUUGUUGUGCAGAAUAAGCCAACUCUUCUUAGCUUCAGAUUUAUGUUUAUAACACACUACAAAUGAAUGUAUUCGAAUGUGACUAUUGGCCUCGUUGCCUUUAAAAAAAAUUAUACAACUUUCAACAACGGAUCUCUUGGCUCUCGCAUCGAUGAAGAACGCAGCGAAAUGCGAUAAGUAAUGUGAAUUGCAGAAUUCAGUGAAUCAUCGAAUCUUUGAACGCACCUUGCGCUCCUUGGUAUUCCGAGGAGCAUGCCUGUUUGAGUGUCAUGAAAUUCUCAACCUCUCUUAGUUUUAUGGCUAAGUUAGGCUUGGAUCAUGGAAGCUGCUGGCUAGUCAAGUUAGCUCUUCUAAAAUACAUUUGCAAAGAUAUUUGCUGACUAUGUUUGAUAUGAUAAUUAUCUAUAUCAUUCAUGAUCAGUGUCCCUUUGCCUCUAAUAGUCUGUUAGACAACUUGACAACUUUGACCUCAAAUCAGGUAGGACUACCCGCUGAACUUAAGCAUAUCAAUAAGCGGAGGAAAAGAAACUAACAAGGAUUCCCCUAGUAACUGCGAGUGAAGCGGGAACAGCUC
Molecule: ribosomal RNA, 707 nt
Filed under: Entoloma aff. conferendum 1D1
Lineage: Eukaryota; Fungi; Basidiomycota; Agaricomycetes; Agaricales; Entolomataceae
Description: eukaryotic LSU rRNA
Rfam family: 5.8S ribosomal RNA (bases 250-403)
Source: RNAcentral